RNAcentral lists this long non-coding RNA (2224 nucleotides) under Sus scrofa (pig). Its description in RNAcentral is "lncRNA (ENSSSCG00060060921.1)". The record is from RNAcentral. Lineage: Eukaryota; Metazoa; Chordata; Mammalia; Artiodactyla; Suidae.
GCAAAGCCCUUUCUCCACCCCGAUCCACUGCCUCUCCCCAGCACUAUAAGCUUGGUGGCCAGGGUUAGGUGACAGGUGGUGCCAGUCACCAGCCAAGCCUCUUGGCUUCGCCCCUUCUACCUGGCUCCCUCCCAUUAGCCUGGGGCCAAGGAAGCUGCAGUCUGGAAGCUGGAGUGCCCCCAAGUGGUGAGAGCCUGAAAAUUACUCUUUCUGUCACAUCUUAGAAGGUUUAAUUUCUUCUCCAUGAGACAGGGCAGUUGCUGCUGCUCCUCUCUCUUGGCAAUGAGCCUAAAGUUCAUAUUCCCCUCCCUAUAUAGUGAAAAGGGACACUCACACCUGUCCAGGAUUUUCUGUCUGUGUACAAAGUACUUUGACAUUGAUUGCCAAAACCCUCACGGAAAAAACUAAGUCUCAGAAGGCUUAAGAGACUUGCCAAAGGUCACAGAGCUCAUAAGGGAAAGAGUCAAGAUUUGAACUCUUCAACUCCUCUGCUCUUUCUGCCGGCACCUGCUGGGUCUGAGCAGCAGGCAUGCAGAAGGGGUGAGCUACCAGUCUGCUCCCCAGAAGAGCAAGACUCCUGGGAAGCUCAGUCCUCCCAGCUGAGCACAUUUUUAUGAGGAGCCCUGAGAACCCAGAGGCACAUCUAGGUGGCAGUACCCAGAGGAUGAGAAUUUGCAACAAAAGGCAUAACUUGAGCAAAGCACUUGGGUUCGUGAUGCCCAGGAUUGAAGACGUGUUCAGGGGCAACCCUGGGCACUUGUCCUUGAAAGAUGAGUCCCAGCGAGGCACUGGCUGAAUCAGGCCUGGAGCCCUGCAUAUCAGAUCUUCAGCCUGCUCCGUGGCCAGAGAGGGAGGGCCUAGAGGGCAUGGUUCUUGGUGUGGUCUUGGUCACAGACUGUGGCUGGAUCGUGUAGAUGUCAUCAUGGCAUUUUCUCUGCAGUUGCAGUUGAGUAGAAUUCUGCUUUUCCGUCUUGUAUUCCACCUCAUCACCAUGGGGUAUGUGGUCCCCAGCUGCUUGCCAAGCCCGGGAACCCAGAGGGGGUGGAGCGGGCGAUGGAGCGGGCCUGUGGGGAGCAGGCUCCAUGCCGGGGUACAGCCCAGAGGAAGCCUGGCCAGCCCCACCUCCAGAAGCAGGAUCACAGCCGAGGAAACCCAGCCAGGCUUUAAAAUUCCUGGCAGGCCAGCUUCAGCAUUCCAUAACCAACCUCACCUGAGCCAGACUCGGGUCCCACUCCCUCAUGCUCUCCAUGGGUAUCCUCUAUCUCGCGUGCUGCUGAAUCCAGCCAGAUGGUUGGGAGCGGCUGCCACAGAGCCGGAAGGGGGACUAGAACGUUUGCUUCCCUGUGGCUGCAUCCAUAGUCCCUGGGGACCCUGCUGUGGCAGUGAGGCCCUGCGUCCAGACCAGCUCCUGGUCCAGGGGGUAUUUUCCUUUCUGAAGAGAAGAGAUGUAACAGCUUUGCAGAUAAGUACCAGCCCGAGGGAGUCAAAUGGGUGAAAUCAUCUUUGGGCCUGACUCCAGCAAGACCAGCAUCUCCAGGCUCCGGCCUUCCUCCUUGUGCCUGAGAGUCAGGGAAAGCGUGAGACUGCCCAGAGGCCACCUCCGUGGGUCAGCCAGACCAUCUGGAUCUAUGGUGGGACUCCAGCUCUCCCUUACCCAAGGGGAGGAGGUAAGGCCAGGCCUCUGGCAACGUGGAGUUGUCUGUAAUGACCUUUAGAGGCCCAAGGGCCUGUCCCCAUCUCCUGACCACAAGGCCUCUGCACCCCUGUGUCAUAUCCCAUGAGAGAGACUUGUUCUCGUGGCAUGUACCAUCCCUGUGAGAGGGCGUUGUAUAUCAUUUUGUAUUUUUUAAUUCAUUUUAAUCUACAGGCUGGAAUCUAAUUUUUAAAUUUCAUUGGAACUCACAUUUUAAAAAAGAAAAACAUUUAAAAUAAUAAUAAUAAACCUUUGACUGGUGUCUUCCAAGUAGUUUGAUCGAAGAACUCAUAGGUGUUUUCGAAACAGCCUGGAGUGUAAAGUCUGGAAGCCAUGGCCUCGCUUGUGUGUGUGAAGUGUAAAUCUGGUUUUGUUUUGUUGUUUUGGAUUCUUUUGGGUUUUUGUUUCGUUUUGUUUUGAAGAUCAGAUAGUGAUCACUCUGAAAGAUUGAAGCCAAGAAUUUGUAACUAUGAUAUUUACUGUAAGCUGUAGAACAUCCAGUAACUAUUAAAAAAAAGUUUCCAAAAAAAA